ACAAGCCUGACACGGAGCAAGGCACUGGGCAUGACGUGAUGCAGUGCUGCUGGUGCAGGGCAGGGUACAGACUGCCCCAGGGGGCUGUCACCGGGGUCCCACUUGUCGUGAAAGCAGCGAACCCACAACUGGAAAGUGGCCAUCUCUGAUGCUCCCCAUGUUCUUCCAAACAGUGAGAUCGUGGCAAUGAUGCUGAGCUGGUCACUGGCUGGAGAGUGAGCAGACAGAAUCACCCACAAGUUCUCCCAGACGUCUGCUUGCUUGUAUGGAUUUAACAGUGCCAUUCCUGCAGGAACGCUGCCUGCUAUCUCCACUGCAUCCCAAAGACAACCUGGGAAGCAAAGUCUCUCAAGCAGCACAAGCCACACUUUUGGAAAACAAUUGAAGGACUGCCAAGGUCAAUGGCACUGUGGUGAUUUCCACUGGUGACAGACAGAAAGCUAGAUCACCAGUGUGUCCCUGAAGCACAGGAUGUGAUGCCCUCUUGGGAACCCAGCUGGGGAAACUGGAAUUCAAAGGUAAACAAAAUCUUCUGACUCACAGUCCCUAUGGUCAGCCACGAGACAAUCCUCCUCUCCCAUCUUAAGGUCUGUAAGGCCCAAGAAGCUGACUCUGACUCACUGAGGAGGCGUGAGGACUGGGCCAUUUCCGCAGUGUGCACCUUUCUUCCUGACAGCGCAGACAGAAGUAAGACGGGAGAAAGCCUGCACCGCACUGGCUCCAGUUUCUCUUCAGGCACAGGCAUUGGGAAAUUUGUAUUUAGUACCACCACUGCUGCAUCUUUGAACUUAAUUUUGGAAGCACCCCUGUCACCCCAGUGAAAGUAAAACACGAUAUGGAACUAAAAGCUUCCUGCCAGACUUACAAUGCUAAGUGCUGCCAGCUUUUU
Centrocercus urophasianus (Greater sage-grouse) is the source of this 889-nucleotide long non-coding RNA. RefSeq lists it as uncharacterized. The transcript is spliced from 6 exons. Lineage: Eukaryota; Metazoa; Chordata; Aves; Galliformes; Phasianidae. The record is from RefSeq and is a predicted model, not a curated record.